Molecule: ribosomal RNA, 253 nt
Filed under: uncultured bacterium
Lineage: Bacteria
Description: partial 16S ribosomal RNA
Rfam family: Bacterial small subunit ribosomal RNA
Source: RNAcentral
UACAGAGGUCCCGAGCGUUGUUCGGAUUCACUGGGCGUAAAGGGUGCGCGGGUGGGUUGGCAAGUUUGAUGUGAAAGCCCCGGGCUUAACCCGGGAAUGGCAUUGAAUACUGCUGAUCUGGAGGAUCGGAGGGGGGACUGGAAUUCUUGGUGUAGCAGUGAAAUGCGUAGAUAUCAAGAGGAACACCAGUGGCGAAGGCGGGUCUCUGGACAGUUCCUGACGCUGAGGCACGAAGGCCAGGGGAGCAAACGGG